RNAcentral lists this ribosomal RNA (253 nucleotides) under uncultured bacterium. RNAcentral's name for it is "partial 16S ribosomal RNA". It matches the Rfam family "Bacterial small subunit ribosomal RNA", at positions 524 to 776 of the family's 1533-position model. The record is from RNAcentral.
UACGUAGGGUGCGAGCGUUAAUCGGAAUUACUGGGCGUAAAGCGUGCGCAGGCGGCGCCGCAAGUCAGGCGUGAAAUCCCCGAGCUUAACUUGGGAAUGGCGCUUGAAACUACGGUGCUGGAGUGUGGCAGAGGGAGGUGGAAUUCCACGUGUAGCGGUGAAAUGCGUAGAGAUGUGGAGGAACACCGGUGGCGAAGGCGGGUCUCUGGGCCGAUACUGACGCUGAGGAGCGAAAGCGUGGGGAGCGAACAGG